RNAcentral lists this long non-coding RNA (2520 nucleotides) under Mus musculus (house mouse). RNAcentral describes it as "distal-less homeobox 6, opposite strand 1". The stretch from base 1516 to 1585 matches the Rfam family "tRNA". The record is from RNAcentral. Lineage: Eukaryota; Metazoa; Chordata; Mammalia; Rodentia; Muridae.
AAAUUGUCCCCAAUGUCUGCUUCAAAUUGGAUGGCACUGCAGCUGGAGGCUUUGUUCAGAAUUGAUCCUGGGGAGCUACGAACCCAAAGUUUCACAGUAGGAAGGGGGAAAAAAGAAAAGAAAACAUUUUUCCUAAUGUAACAAUGCGAAUGCUAGAAAAUGACAAGACUGAUCGGUUUUAAACCAUUCUGAAGACUGACUGAGCGUGGAAGUUGCUCAACAAAAAAGGGAACGGGGAUAUUGAACCAGAGAGAAACCUACGCCCAGAAGAACAUGUCCCUGGAUUGCUUUCCCACUGCUGUGGAGUGUCUUGAACACUGGUCCCUGGACACCAACUUCAAGAAGACUUCAUGGAUGGCUGUCCAGUCUUAUGAGCCACAGUUUCCCCUCUACAUUUUCUUCACUCCAGCGAGGCUCUUAUCAGGGUCAGAUCAGAGAUGAACCAGCUGGACGACAGAUUGGAGCGCUGACCUCUUAGAGUGCUAACAGUGAACAGUGUGGGGUCAGAUCUAUAGAAAGAUAAUAAUAAGAAAACACCCUAUAUGCAAGGGAGAGGGAUGGUUCAUAAUUUCUUAAAGAUUGAAAUCAAGGAACAAUCAAAAUAUAGAAGAAUGUGGACGUGUUUUGCUGCAGGACUUCUGUUUUGUCCCCAUUGGAAUAUGUAUUAUGGUAUUCCUGUUGGAUCAGGACUCAGGGGCAAGGCUAAGCAUUCCAGUGGUCCUCCUACUUAGCUCUUGUCCUUUCGUAAGAAACACCAACUCAUUAGUCUCUAUAUUACUUCUCUGUACUGUAGAUCUGCAUUCUUGAUCUGAGAGAUAUUGGCAAUGACACUCUUGUAUGAUAAAGCUCAAUGAUAAGAGUACUUCAAACCCCCUUGAACUUUUUGUUUAUACAUCAAGUGGUGACAUUGUGUAUUGAGCUAAUUAGAUCAAUGGAGUCACAGGGUGAUACUGAACUCUUUUAAAAUAUUUGGCUGAAACAUGACAUUGUAGUUAUUUGUAGAAGAGAACAUUAUGGAAUAUGAAAAACAUCACAGAACACAGAACUAGCAGCAGAAACUAGCAGCAGAUUUCCACACAAGAUCUCCAUGACAAAUCUCAACAAAUAUUGGCCUGUGUUGUUGAUGGAAUUGCACCACCUCCCAAUUCAUGUAUUGCUGUCCUACCCCUCCCGCCUGAUCACGUGAUUGUACCUGGAGCAAGGGCCUUUAAAGAGCUAACAACGUUGAAAAUCAGCUCACCAGGGUGGGUCCUAAGCCAAUAUGAUUAUGAAUGGGAACUUUGAACACAGAAUAUACAGAGGAAAGACUCUGUGAAGACUCAAAGUAAAAACAGCAACCUAUGAGCAAAGGAAUGAAGACUCAGAAAAUCAAUACUUUGAUUGGAGGAAUUAUGCCUAAAAGUUUUGAGAAUUGUGAGAACAUUUCUGUUAUUUCAGCCUCCCAAUUCGUACACUUGCUCAUUGAUGCUGGGCUUAUGAGUUAACACAACUAGGCAUGAAAAGAAUCAUGGACUGGGUUAUAGCUCAGUGGUAGAGUACUUACCUAGCAUGUACAAGGACCUGGGUUCGAUACUCUGUAACAACAGAAUAUUAAGAUUGGCUUAAAACUGUGUCAUGGCCAAUCUUCAUUGUCAUCUUGACAGGAUUUGGAAGCACUCCAAGGACACAACUUCGGUAUGGUAUGUCUGCAAAUGUGUUUCUAGAGAAGCUUAGGGGAGGGAGAGGGCUUACUCACCUUGACUCUGAGUGGACCAUUCCAUGGGCUAUAGUUUUAUAUUGAGUAAAAGGGGGGGAAAAGAAACCAAGAACACCAAUAUUUAUUUCUUACAGAUUCUUCACCUCAGACAAAAUGUGACCCACUUUAUGACUCCCCUGUUGCCUCCCAUGAUCGACUUAAUCCUGAAAGUUUUAGCCAAGACAACCCCUCCUUAUUUUCUUUUUGUCAUUUAUUUAAUCAUACCAAUAGAAAAAUAAUUACAUAAGGGUGAAUUAAAUUUUAGCCCAGGUUCCACAUCAGGCACCUUAAUCUGGCGUUUUCAAUGGUAUAGGUUAACUUUUGUCUUGUUUGUUUGUUUCUAAGGAUUGCUUUUCUAAUUGUCAAAUGAAUUUUGUUUCUUUUGUUGAUAUUCAUUUAGCAGCUGGGGCUCCAAUGCUCCAAACUCAGAUAAAACUUCUUUUCAAAUUCCGUUAGUAACCUGUUAUAUUUGUGCUGCAUAAUGGCUGUGUAGAGAUCCAAAAAUUGCCUCUGCUCCCAACCUCAUGCAUCUCAAAUAGAGAACAAGGGUGUCAAUUUAUCCUGGCUAUUUCAAUCUCUGAUUCCAAUGCAAAUUACUAUCCUACUGGUUCAAGCUCUUGUCUUCUUGCCUUGGCUAUUCUAAAGACUUCUAAUUAAUAUUCCAUAAUCUCUGUCUCUUAAUUCAUACAGAGUGUACCCUGAUUAUUGCCUCAAAAUGUCUAAUUAUAUAACUUUCAUCUUUGGUGAUUUCAUUAUUUAAAUAAUAAAGGUCUAAUUGUUUAACA